RNAcentral lists this ribosomal RNA (1666 nucleotides) under Salmonella enterica subsp. enterica serovar Mbandaka. RNAcentral's name for it is "partial 23S ribosomal RNA". It matches the Rfam family "Bacterial large subunit ribosomal RNA", at positions 1210 to 2853 of the family's 2925-position model. The record is from RNAcentral. Lineage: Bacteria; Pseudomonadati; Pseudomonadota; Gammaproteobacteria; Enterobacterales; Enterobacteriaceae.
GACACUGUGUGUUGUUGGGUAGGGGAGCGUUCUGUAAGCCUGUGAAGGUGGCCUGUGAGGGUUGCUGGAGGUAUCAGAAGUGCGAAUGCUGACAUAAGUAACGAUAAAGCGGGUGAAAAGCCCGCUCGCCGGAAGACCAAGGGUUCCUGUCCAACGUUAAUCGGGGCAGGGUGAGUCGACCCCUAAGGCGAGGCCGAAAGGCGUAGUCGAUGGGAAACGGGUUAAUAUUCCCGUACUUGGUGUUACUGCGAAGGGGGGACGGAGAAGGCUAUGUUGGCCGGGCGACGGUUGUCCCGGUUUAAGCGUGUAGGUGUGUGUUCCAGGUAAAUCCGGUUCACUUUAACACUGAGGCGUGACGACGAGGCACUACGGUGCUGAAGCAACAAAUGCCCUGCUUCCAGGAAAAGCCUCUAAGCAUCAGGUAACAUCAAAUCGUACCCCAAACCGACACAGGUGGUCAGGUAGAGAAUACCAAGGCGCUUGAGAGAACUCGGGUGAAGGAACUAGGCAAAAUGGUGCCGUAACUUCGGGAGAAGGCACGCUGACACGUAGGUGAAGUGAUUUACUCAUGGAGCUGAAGUCAGUCGAAGAUACCAGCUGGCUGCAACUGUUUAUUAAAAACACAGCACUGUGCAAACACGAAAGUGGACGUAUACGGUGUGACGCCUGCCCGGUGCCGGAAGGUUAAUUGAUGGGGUCAGCGCAAGCGAAGCUCCUGAUCGAAGCCCCGGUAAACGGCGGCCGUAACUAUAACGGUCCUAAGGUAGCGAAAUUCCUUGUCGGGUAAGUUCCGACCUGCACGAAUGGCGUAAUGAUGGCCAGGCUGUCUCCACCCGAGACUCAGUGAAAUUGAACUCGCUGUGAAGAUGCAGUGUACCCGCGGCAAGACGGAAAGACCCCGUGAACCUUUACUAUAGCUUGACACUGAACAUUGAGCCUUGAUGUGUAGGAUAGGUGGGAGGCUUUGAAGUGUGGACGCCAGUCUGCAUGGAGCCGACCUUGAAAUACCACCCUUUAAUGUUUGAUGUUCUAACGUGGACCCGUUACCCGGGUUGCGGACAGUGUCUGGUGGGUAGUUUGACUGGGGCGGUCUCCUCCUAAAGAGUAACGGAGGAGCACGAAGGUUGGCUAAUCCUGGUCGGACAUCAGGAGGUUAGUGCAAUGGCAUAAGCCAGCUUGACUGCGAGCGUGACGGCGCGAGCAGGUGCGAAAGCAGGUCAUAGUGAUCCGGUGGUUCUGAAUGGAAGGGCCAUCGCUCAACGGAUAAAAGGUACUCCGGGGAUAACAGGCUGAUACCGCCCAAGAGUUCAUAUCGACGGCGGUGUUUGGCACCUCGAUGUCGGCUCAUCACAUCCUGGGGCUGAAGUAGGUCCCAAGGGUAUGGCUGUUCGCCAUUUAAAGUGGUACGCGAGCUGGGUUUAGAACGUCGUGAGACAGUUCGGUCCCUAUCUGCCGUGGGCGCUGGAGAACUGAGGGGGGCUGCUCCUAGUACGAGAGGACCGGAGUGGACGCAUCACUGGUGUUCGGGUUGUCAUGCCAAUGGCACUGCCCGGUAGCUAAAUGCGGAAGAGAUAAGUGCUGAAAGCAUCUAAGCACGAAACUUGCCCCGAGAUGAGUUCUCCCUGAGACUUAGAGUCUCCUGAAGGAACGUUGAAGACGACGACGU